CAUAGGCAAACUCUGGCCCUCCAGAUGUUUGGGACUACAAUUGGGACUACAAACAUCUGGAGGGCAAGAGUUUGCCUAUG
Non-coding RNA from Podarcis lilfordi (Lilford's wall lizard), 80 nucleotides. The record is from the annotation of a GenBank genome assembly. Lineage: Eukaryota; Metazoa; Chordata; Lepidosauria; Squamata; Lacertidae.